RNAcentral lists this ribosomal RNA (524 nucleotides) under Anchastus sp. UPOL RK0061. Its description in RNAcentral is "partial 16S ribosomal RNA". The stretch from base 388 to 524 matches the Rfam family "Bacterial large subunit ribosomal RNA", at positions 2473 to 2610 of the family's 2925-position model. Lineage: Eukaryota; Metazoa; Arthropoda; Insecta; Coleoptera; Elateridae. The record is from RNAcentral.
CAUGUCCUUUUGAUUAUAAUUUAAGGUCUAAUCUGCUCAAUGAUGAAAUUAAAUUGCCGCGGUAUUUUGACCGUGCAAAGGUAGCAUAAUAAUUAGUUUUUUUAUUGAAAGCUGGAAUGAAUGAUUGGACGAGAAAAUAACUGUCUCUUUUUGAUUAAAUAUUUAAUUUAACUUUUAAGUAAAAAGGCUUAAAUUUUUAUUAAAGACGAGAAGACCCUAUAGAGUUUAAUAUUUUUACUUUUGUUUAUUUUAUAGAAUUAGCUUAUUUUCAUAAGUAUUUUAUUUAGUUGGGGUGACUGGAAGAUUCAAUAAACUCUUCUAAGUUUAGGAUCAAUGAUUUUUGAAUUUUUUAUCUAAUUUUUUAAAUUUAAGAUAAAUUACCUUAGGGAUAACAGCGUGAUUUUUUUUUAGAGUUCUUAUCGAAAAAAAAGUUUGCGACCUCGAUGUUGGAUUAAAAUUAAUCUCUGGCGCAGAAGUUGGGGUAUUAAGUCUGUUCGACUUUUAAAAUUUUACAUGAUCUGAGU